RNAcentral lists this ribosomal RNA (510 nucleotides) under uncultured bacterium. RNAcentral's name for it is "bacterial SSU rRNA". It matches the Rfam family "Bacterial small subunit ribosomal RNA", at positions 25 to 518 of the family's 1533-position model. The record is from RNAcentral.
CAGAUUGAACGCUGGCGGCGUGCUUAACACAUGCAAGUCGCGCGUGAAAGGACUUCGGUCCGAGUAAAGCGGCGCACGGGUGAGUAACGCGUGGAUGAUCUACCCAUGAGUUAGGAAUAACGGCUGGAAACGGUCGCUAAUACCAAAUACGCUCCGAUUUCAACUUCGGGGGAAAGGUGGCCUCUGGCUUGCAAGCUACUGCUCAUGGAUGAGUCCGCGUCCCAUUAGCUAGUUGGUGGGGUAACGGCCCACCAAGGCGACGAUGGGUAGCCGGUCUGAGAGGAUGACCGGCCACACUGGGACUGGAACACGGCCCAGACUCCUACGGGAGGCAGCAGUGGGGAAUAUUGCGCAAUGGGCGAAAGCCUGACGCAGCGACGCCGCGUGAGGGAUGAAAGGUCCUCGGAUCGUAAACCUCUGUCAGGAGGGAAGAACCGCCACGGUGCUAAUCAGCCGUGGUCUGACGGUACCUCCAAAGGAAGCACCGGCUAACUCCGUGCCAGCAGCAGC